AUUGAACGCUGGCGGCAGGCCUAACACAUGCAAGUCGAGCGGAUGAAGGGAGCUUGCUCCUGGAUUCAGCGGCGGACGGGUGAGUAAUGCCUAGGAAUCUGCCUGGUAGUGGGGGAUAACGUCCGGAAACGGGCGCUAAUACCGCAUACGUCCUGAGGGAGAAAGUGGGGGAUCUUCGGACCUCACGCUAUCAGAUGAGCCUAGGUCGGAUUAGCUAGUUGGUGGGGUAAAGGCCUACCAAGGCGACGAUCCGUAACUGGUCUGAGAGGAUGAUCAGUCACACUGGAACUGAGACACGGUCCAGACUCCUACGGGAGGCAGCAGUGGGGAAUAUUGGACAAAGGGCGAAAGCCUGAUCCAGCCAUGCCGCGUGUGUGAAGAAGGUCUUCGGAUUGUAGAGCACUUUAAGUUGGGAGGAAGGGCAGUAAGUUAAUACCCUGCUGUUUUGACGUUACCAACAGAAUAAGCACCGGCUAACUUCGUG
This 484-nucleotide ribosomal RNA is filed under the name uncultured bacterium. Its description in RNAcentral is "partial 16S ribosomal RNA". It matches the Rfam family "Bacterial small subunit ribosomal RNA", at positions 30 to 507 of the family's 1533-position model. The record is from RNAcentral.